ACAGUUAGAACUGAAGACUGAGGGUGGCACUUUGUGGGCACCUCUCAGAGCCCCUCCAGUCCAUGCCCACCUGGCCAUGCAUAGCAGCACCUGGAGUCUUACCCUCAAGGUUGCAAGACAGCUGCAUGUGUUCCAGGCACCACAUCUCCACUGAAGGCAAGAAGGGGAAGAGGUGGUGGUCUUCUACGUCUCUUCUAACAGGAAAAAAAAGGCUUCCCAGAAACACGUGCCAGCGGACUCUGCCUUGCAUUCUGUUGACCAGCUCUGCCACAUGGCCACCCCCUGCAAGACGCUCUCAUUCCUCACUUUCUGCUCUAGGAGGGGUCAAGACAGAAGCCUCUCCCCUGGGUGUACCCAGCCGUGCUUCCUGCUCCAGCCUGCGUCCAUCAGCUGCAGCUCCAGGCUCCGAUAGCAGCUUCAGCAGGAUGGCGAGUGACCUCCUGCACAAACCGCCUUCAUCUCCAUCACCUGCAUCUCCCAAGAGGCAGCUAGUUUGCCAAAGGUACCAGGAAGCUCACCUCCAGAAGGCUUGCCCAGUACUAAUUCUGAUGCACAGGCAGCUCCCAACACUUCAGGUUUCUGUAAAGCCCCAAAGCCAGCACAAGAUGAUUUAAUUACCACGUGAAUGAGUCAAAAAACAGAUGCGAGGUUUCCAGAAAUGCCUGCAAGUGCUUAGUAAGUAGCCACAAUUGAUAGAGAAAUUGCAAAGACACGCUGGAAACAAAGGCUGGCUCAAGGCACAGUCACAGCCCGAAAAGUGCUGUCAACAGAGGGGUACUCCUACCCACUAACCCCCACCCCCACCCCAGUCCUGUUAAAUGCAGAGAGCUGGGAAAUCGUCUGUAAUAGUCUGGCCCACGUGAACUGCAAUUAGCAGCAACAAGCACCACCCACAGACUCCCCGGGAACGUGCUCAUGGUUAAUCGAUUCGAUUGAUCACUGUUUAUUAAGCAAAAACCUGCUUUCUAAACUGUUCUUCCCUAAAUGGUGUUUUUGUUUUUGUUUUUUUCCCCAGUCUGCUAGAAAAUAGGAGACUAAUUAGAGCUUUUAAUUUAAAUCCAAGCAGGGAGAUGCGAGCAUGUACUACGGGAAAAGCAUUAGGAGGCGGGGAGGAGAUGAGGAGCCCCGCCCCCAGCUCCCCAGAGCAGCAACGGUAGCGCUAACACGCUCCCAUAAAGACCUCCCGAAUCCGCAUUUCACUCUUCAGAUCAAGAAGCCACUGGGACCAGGUCAGACGAGAGCAUCAGGAAGGCAGCCCACUGAUAAUAUAGAUUAUGGGAGUGUUUGGGUCGCACCAGUGCUGUGAAAUUGAUCGGCUCCAUUCAGCACCUUGCGAAUCAACAGAGGAAAUCAAUGGUUGGCAGACGGUGUGGAGGAUUGAAUUCUGAGGCACGACCACUAUAUAACAUAAUCACCCGGAUCCUUCUCGUUGCCCUGACCAGGGCUUCACUGGAAAUGCCACACAAAACAGACUCAGCUGUUUUCAUUUCACUCCCUGAUACACGUCCAUACCAGCCAGGCUCUCUGCCUAUGAUGAGCAAUGCAGGACUGGAAGAAAAACCUGGCUUCCUUCUGUGUCGUAACUCCCAUCACAAGCCUUUGUCUAACACAGUCAGGCACAGGGCUUAGAAAGAUGGGUUCCUUGGUCGCUGGUGGAGAACAUGCACCUCCCUUCUGUGUUCAAAGCAAGUUCUGGUUCAAAAAGAAAGCUUGGCCUCCAGGAGCUGUCAGCGACCCCACACUCUAGGUCACACAUAGCAGGUGAGGGAACCUCUUCCUUCCCUUAGCAACCUCAUCUGAUAGCAGCCAAUGAGAGUGGCCCCAGUCCCCACAUCCCACUGCACCUGAUCGGCCAGUCAUCAAGCCGGACAGAGAAAGCUGGCCUUAGGGUCAGCUGAUAGACUAAAUGGCAUUGCAAGGGAUUGCAGUUGAAGGGAAGGGAUGAAAAAAUGCAUAAAAAUGCCAGGUGCCUCUGCGAACACCUAGGAGCUCGGAAGAGAGAGUGCUGGGGCCACAGAAGCUGCCAGCUUCGCUUGGGUCAGGUCCCUUUCACUUUCUGUUUCAGAAUAUGUUGUGAUUUGUUUUAAUCAGGGAUGGUAAGACACAGAGCCAGACAUGUAAGAAGCUGUUAUGGAGCUUGGAAUAGACAUGUCCGCACUACUAUACUGAAAACAGAUAACCAACAAGGCCCGACUGUAUAACGCAUGGAACUCUGCCGAAUGUUAUGCGGCAGGCUGGACGAGAGGGGAGCUUGGGGGAGAAUGGAUGCAUGUAUACGUAUGGCCGAGCCCUUUGCUGUUCACCUGAAAUUAUUACAAACUGGAGUUUGUUUGUUAAUUGGCUAUAUCCCAAUCCAAGUGAAAGUUGCUCAGUCAUGUCCGACUCUUUGUGACCCAUGGACUAUAC
Molecule: long non-coding RNA, 2406 nt
Organism: Bos taurus (domestic cattle)
Lineage: Eukaryota; Metazoa; Chordata; Mammalia; Artiodactyla; Bovidae
Source: Ensembl